CGGAGCCGUAGCGAAAGCGAGUUUUAACUGAGCGUUCAGUUACUGGACGUAGACCCGAAACCGGGCGACCUACCCAUGAGCAGGAUGAAGCGAAAGUAAAAUGUCGUGGAGGUCCGAACCCACGAGCGUUGAAAAGCUCGGGGAUGACUUGUGGGUAGCGGUGAAAUUCCAAUCGAGCCCGGAGAUAGCUGGUUCUCCCCGAAAUAGCUUUAGGGCUAGCCUCAAGGUGA
Molecule: ribosomal RNA, 230 nt
Filed under: Clostridioides difficile
Lineage: Bacteria; Bacillati; Bacillota; Clostridia; Peptostreptococcales; Peptostreptococcaceae
Description: partial 23S ribosomal RNA
Rfam family: Bacterial large subunit ribosomal RNA
Source: RNAcentral